Molecule: ribosomal RNA, 253 nt
Filed under: uncultured bacterium
Lineage: Bacteria
Description: partial 16S ribosomal RNA
Rfam family: Bacterial small subunit ribosomal RNA
Source: RNAcentral
GACGAACCGUGCGAACGUUGUUCGGAAUCAUUGGGCUUAAAGGGUGCGUAGGCUGGUAAGCAAGUCGAAGGUGAAAGCCCACGGCUCAACCGUGGAAGAGCCCUCGAUACUGCUUGUCUGGAGGGAGGUAGGGGCACGCGGAACUUCCGGUGGAGCGGUGAAAUGCGUAGAUAUCGGAAGGAACACCGGUGGCGAAAGCGGCGUGCUGGACCUCUACUGACGCUGAGGCACGAAAGCCAGGGUAGCGAACGGG